UACGUAGGGUGCAAGCGUUAAUCGGAAUUACUGGGCGUAAAGCGUGCGCAGGCGGUUGUGCAAGACAGGUGUGAAAUCCCCGGGCUUAACCUGGGAACUGCACUUGCGACUGCACAGCUAGAGUACGGCAGAGGGGGAUGGAAUUCCGCGUGUAGCAGUGAAAUGCGUAGAUAUGCGGAGGAACACCGAUGGCGAAGGCAGUCCCCUGGGCCUGUACUGACGCUCAUGCACGAAAGCGUGGGGAGCAAACAGG
This 253-nucleotide ribosomal RNA is filed under the name uncultured bacterium. RNAcentral describes it as "partial 16S ribosomal RNA". It matches the Rfam family "Bacterial small subunit ribosomal RNA", at positions 524 to 776 of the family's 1533-position model. The record is from RNAcentral.